RNAcentral lists this transfer RNA (72 nucleotides) under Piptocephalis cylindrospora. It matches the Rfam family "tRNA". From Rfam's summary of the family: Transfer RNA (tRNA) molecules are approximately 80 nucleotides in length. Their secondary structure includes four short double-helical elements and three loops (D, anti-codon, and T loops). Lineage: Eukaryota; Fungi; Zoopagomycota; Zoopagomycetes; Zoopagales; Piptocephalidaceae. The record is from Rfam by way of RNAcentral.
GCCCUCAUAGCCUAAUGGAUAUGGCGUCGCCCUCCUAAGGCGGAAUUCUAGGUUCGAGUCCUAGUGGGGGCG